Molecule: non-coding RNA, 71 nt
Organism: Dipodomys ordii (Ord's kangaroo rat)
Lineage: Eukaryota; Metazoa; Chordata; Mammalia; Rodentia; Heteromyidae
Source: Rfam
GCAUGGGUGGUUCAGUGGUAGAAUUCUUGCCUGCCACGUGGGAGGCCCGGGUUCGAUUCCUGGCCCAUGCA